Molecule: ribosomal RNA, 411 nt
Filed under: uncultured bacterium
Lineage: Bacteria
Description: bacterial SSU rRNA
Rfam family: Bacterial small subunit ribosomal RNA
Source: RNAcentral
ACUCCUACGGGAGGCAGCAGUGGGGAAUAUUGCACAAUGGGGGAAACCCUGAUGCAGCCAUGCCGCGUGUGUGAAGAAGGCCUUCGGGUUGUAAAGCACUUUCAGUAGGGAGGAAGGUAGUGUAGUUAACACCUGCACUAUUUGACGUUACCUACAGAAGAAGCACCGGCUAACUCCGUGCCAGCAGCCGCGGUAAUACGGAGGGUGCGAGCGUUAAAUCGGAAUUACUGGGCGUAAAGCGCAUGCAGGCGGCCUGUUAAGUCAGAUGUGAAAGCCCGGGGCUUAACCUCGGAAUUGCAUUUGAAACUGGCAGGCUAGAGUCUUGUAGAGGGGGGUAGAAUUUCAGGUGUAGCGGUGAAAUGCGUAGAGAUCUGAAGGAAUACCAGUGGCGAAGGCGGCCCCCUGGACAAA